UCUUGGUAAUCGCUGCUAGUAAUAGUAGAGGAAAGUCCAUGCUCACACAAUCUGUGAUGAUUGUAGUGUUUGUGCUAGAUGAAAAAAUAAAUCUAGGCAGCAUAUGCUGACGGCUGCUAAUUAUACUAAGGGAAACUAUGUAUAAUGCUAUAAAAGUGCCAAAGAGACGAGCUUUUCCGAAAGGAAAAAGGUGGAACGUGGUAAACCCCGCAAGUGAGCAACCCAAAAUUGGUAGGGGCACUUCAAAGUUUGAAUCAGAAAAACGAUGAGGAUCGAAAGAUAGAUAAAUGAUUACCCUCUUGUAAAGAGACAGAACAUGGCUUAUAA
RNAcentral lists this RNase P RNA (327 nucleotides) under pig gut metagenome. Its description in RNAcentral is "Bacterial RNase P class B". It matches the Rfam family "Bacterial RNase P class B". From Rfam's summary of the family: Ribonuclease P (RNase P) is a ubiquitous endoribonuclease, found in archaea, bacteria and eukarya as well as chloroplasts and mitochondria. The record is from RNAcentral.